GACGAACGCUGGCGGCGUGCUUAACACAUGCAAGUCGAACGGUGAAGCGCCUUCCUUUUUGGUGGGUGUGGAUGAGUGGCGAACGGGUGAGUAACACGUGAGUAACCUGCCCCCUUCUUCUGGAUAACCGCAUGAAAGUGUAGCUAAUACGGGAUAAUCUGGGUCUGUCGCAUGAUGGGUCUGGGAAAGAUAUUGUUUCGGUGGGGGAUGGGCUCGCGGCCUAUCAGCUUGUUGGUGGGGUGAUGGCCUACCAAGGCGGUGACGGGUAGCCGGCCUGAGAGGGUGGGCGGUCACACUGGGACGGAGACACGGCGCAGACUCCUGCGGGAGGCAGCAGUGGGGAAUAUUGCACGAUGGGCGGAAGCCUGAUGCAGCGACGCCGCGUGAGGGAUGGAGGCCUUCGGGUUGUGAACCUCUUUCGCCAGUGAAGCAGUCCUGCCUCGUGUGUGGGUGGGUUGACGGUAGCUGGAUAAGAAGCGCCGGCUAACUACGUG
RNAcentral lists this ribosomal RNA (494 nucleotides) under uncultured bacterium. Its description in RNAcentral is "partial 16S ribosomal RNA". It matches the Rfam family "Bacterial small subunit ribosomal RNA", at positions 28 to 507 of the family's 1533-position model. The record is from RNAcentral.